Molecule: non-coding RNA, 526 nt
Organism: Pelobates cultripes (western spadefoot toad)
Lineage: Eukaryota; Metazoa; Chordata; Amphibia; Anura; Pelobatidae
Source: the annotation of a GenBank genome assembly
CAGGCUCGGCCCACGCUCCUCCCCCACCAACAUCAGCCGGAGGGGGAGACCUAAAGCGCAUGUGGGGCAAUGGCCGUGCUCGCAUUAGGAUUUCCCCAUAGGAAAGCAUUAAUCAAUGCUGUACUAUGGGGAUUCUGGUGAAGCUGGAAGUCCUCAUGCAUAGCGUGAGGGCGUCCAGGCAACCAAGAGUUGUCUAAACAGCCAGAAGUCCCUCUAGUUGCUGUCUGGUAGACAGCCACUACAGGAGGAGUUAACCCUAGCAGGUAAUUAUUGAAGUUUCUUAGAAACUGCAAUAAUUACCACUGUAGGGUUAAGGGACAUGGGACAUUUCUCGCAAACCACUUCAAUGAGCUGAAAUGGUCUGGGUGCCUACAGUGUCCCUUUAACUAAAGUGAGAAAUCAAAUGUGAAUUUCAAAUUUUAGGUCCAAGUGGCAGAACUGGUAGCAUAGCUGAUUACGAUAUUUUUUUCAAUUUAGCUGUUUUUACCUUAAAUGUGAAAUUUAUUUUUAAUUCACCUUGAAUUCU